GAUGAACGCUGGCGGCGUGCCUAAUACAUGCAAGUCGAGCGAACAGACGAGGAGCUUGCUCCUCUGACGUUAGCGGCGGACGGGUGAGUAACACGUGGAUAACCUACCUAUAAGACUGGGAUAACUUCGGGAAACCGGAGCUAAUACCGGAUAAUAUAUUGAACCGCAUGGUUCAAUAGUGAAAGACGGUUUUGCUGUCACUUAUAGAUGGAUCCGCGCCGCAUUAGCUAGUUGGUAAGGUAACGGCUUACCAAGGCAACGGUGCGUAGCCGACCUGAGAGGGGGAUCGGCCACACGGGAAGUGAGACCCGGUCCAGACUCCGACGGGAGGCAGCAGUAGGGAAUCUUCCGCAAAGGGCGAAAGCCUGACGGAGCAGCGCCGCGUGGGUGAUGAAGGUCUUCGGAUCGUAAAACUCUGUUAUUGGGGAAGAACAAAUGUGUAAGUAACUAUGCACGUCUGAAGGUAACCUAAUAAGAAGGCCACGGCUAACUACUG
RNAcentral lists this ribosomal RNA (496 nucleotides) under uncultured bacterium. RNAcentral describes it as "partial 16S ribosomal RNA". It matches the Rfam family "Bacterial small subunit ribosomal RNA", at positions 28 to 506 of the family's 1533-position model. The record is from RNAcentral.